This 1155-nucleotide long non-coding RNA is filed under the name Callithrix jacchus (white-tufted-ear marmoset). Its description in RNAcentral is "lncRNA (ENSCJAG00000057788.2)". The record is from RNAcentral. Lineage: Eukaryota; Metazoa; Chordata; Mammalia; Primates; Cebidae.
AUGAACUUAACCUGCUAAAUUAGCUCCUAGAUAUUGUAUCAUGUCUAAUCUCUUUCUGCAGGUACUGGUGCUGGAUAUUUUUGGAUAGCAGAUGGGGGAAAACAAGAAAAAGUACUCAUGGUGCAUUAGUCAUCUGAGGUCCAGUCCUGUCCUCUACAUACCCAGAGGAAUUGAAUACUGGCAGCAUAAGCAGCAUGUGCUGUCACAUCAGAUACGGCUUUCUGCACAUGGAGAAACUAACUAGAGUGGACAACACAGCUGCAUUUUAUUCCCAAUUUGGCUAUUGAGAUCCUGGCUGCAGGAUCUUGGGUGUCUCACUUCACAUAAUCAUUGGCAUGGCAUGUGGCAUGCUACUUGGAGACUCUGAAGACCUAGAAUCUUCAGCUCAGACUCCAGAUGAGCUCAGCUUUCCAAAAUCAGUUCUACCAACUCCUACCCUCCGGUACCAGGAUGAUCAGCAUAGCUGAAGGAUGUCACAAAAUUAUGAGAAACAGAGUCUGACUCUGUCACUCAUGUUGGACUGUAGUGGCACUAUCAUGGCUCAUUGUGGCCUCAAACUCCUGGGCUCAGGGGAUCCUGCUGCCUCGGCCUCCCAGAGUAGCCAGGACCACAGGUAUGUACCACCAUGCCUGGCUAAUUAAAAAAAAAUUUUUUUUUUUGCAGAGACGAGGUUUUUUCAUAUUGCCCAGGCUGGUCUCAAACUCCUGGUCUGAAGCAAUUCUCCUGUCUCACCCACCCAAAGUGCUGGGAUCACAGGCAUGAAAUGUCUUUGCCUGACCUCACAUCAUCUGUCUUAAAUAACACAUAUUGAGAUCUUUCUCAAAUUCAUUUUAUCAAGGAGAGAAAACAUUUCUGUGGCACUUGAUAACUGCCCAGCAGUGUUCUAACUACUGUGCAAACAUUAAUCGGCAAAAUAAUGAGGUAGCAACUAUUACUGCACCAUACCACAUUGUUCUAAGCAGGAAGCUUCUACACUAACCAAUGCAAGAGAAUAGAGAGUUCCAGAAAAUUGAUGCUGACCAAAUAAUCCCGUAGAUUCUCUCUUCCUCUCUCUCUUUAUCUCUUGUUCUUUUAACUUUUUCUGAAUUGCAUCAAGGCAUGUUAUGGGCCAAGGGCGGCCCUGAGAGUCUCUAAGUUUUAAGUUACAGAUCUAAG